Molecule: transfer RNA, 65 nt
Filed under: Arctonoe vittata
Lineage: Eukaryota; Metazoa; Annelida; Polychaeta; Phyllodocida; Polynoidae
Description: tRNA-Trp
Rfam family: tRNA
About the family: Transfer RNA (tRNA) molecules are approximately 80 nucleotides in length. Their secondary structure includes four short double-helical elements and three loops (D, anti-codon, and T loops).
Source: RNAcentral
AAGAUUUUAAGUUAAAUAAACUAAUGGUCUUCAAAGCCGUAAAUGAGAAUUAUUCUCAAAUCUUG